This is a long non-coding RNA of Erpetoichthys calabaricus (reedfish), 745 nucleotides long. RefSeq lists it as uncharacterized. Lineage: Eukaryota; Metazoa; Chordata; Cladistia; Polypteriformes; Polypteridae. The transcript is spliced from 5 exons. The record is from RefSeq and is a predicted model, not a curated record.
UUAGGAGGUGGAGUUGGCGUACUCGCCUCUGCAUGCAUCCCAGAAAGCACAGCUAUCUUUGGGAAGUCGAUGGUGCCCUUCGAAAUAUAAAGGUAUUGCCAUUGAGCAGGCGGGUCUCUUUCUUGGUAACAACGUGAAGGAAGGAGGAAUCGGCUAAAGGUUUGCACCAAACCUGUUUGACCUCCCAUUGCCCUGUGGUACAGAAAAUAUGGAUAAAUUGGAGAGUACUGGAGGUGCUUCUCUCAAGUUGGAUAUAUAUGACAAAAUGAAAAAUCAAGUGAGACCAGGUGAGCUGACAUGAAAGCCAUGUUUUUGGAGUGGAGUUUAUUGCAUGGCCUGCUCUGUCUGGAUGAUGCACCUGAUUGAUCUCGUGUGGUAGUGAGAUCAUUACUGGAGCAGAAGCCAUAACUCCUGCUGCACAGUGCAGUAACCUAAAAGGAACAAGGUCUUGGCAGCUGCAGAAAACAUGGAAGUGACAUCUGUCUGUCUAGAUUUGGUUUGUAAGAUUGUAGCAGUUGGAAUUAGAAUGGGUUCUAGUACAGCAGCCCAGUCUUUUGAAACUCUGGCACAAUUUAGCCUUGUCAUUCUUGUAAGGUAUAACUCGAUGUUUGUUGUAAAAAUGAAUGCCUAAAUCCCAAUGCAAAUAACUCAAAUUUCUGUAAGUGACUUUGGAGUUUCAGAUAUCAAACAUGUAAAUCUUUUUGUAAGACUUGUUACUAUGUAAAUAAACUUAACUGGAAAAUUC